UGUUUUCCGCGUUGGACCGCACACAAGUCUGUUGGAAUACAGCGGCAUAGUGGUGAGACCCCCGUAUAUGGUGCGGACGCCCAACGCUUUGUGAUACACUUUCGAAGAGUCGAGUUGUUUGGGAAUGCAGCUCAAAUUGGGUGGUAAAUUCCAUCUAAAGCUAAAUAUUGGCGAGAGACCGAUAGCGAACAAGUACCGUGAGGGAAAGAUGAAAAGCACUUUGGAAAGAGAGUUAACAGUACGUGAAAUUGUUGGAAGGGAAACGCUUGAAGUCAGACUUGCUUGCCGAGCAAUCGGUUUGCAGGCCAGCAUCAGUUUUCCGGGGUGGAUAAUGGUAGAGAGAAGGUAGCAGUUUCGGCUGUGUUAUAGCUCUUUGCUGGAUACACCUUGGGGGACUGAGGAACGCAGUGUGCCUUACGGCGGAUUUCUCGAGAUCUUCACACUUAGGAUGCUGGUGGAAUGGCUUUAAACGAC
Molecule: ribosomal RNA, 474 nt
Filed under: Rhodotorula taiwanensis
Lineage: Eukaryota; Fungi; Basidiomycota; Microbotryomycetes; Sporidiobolales; Sporidiobolaceae
Description: partial large subunit ribosomal RNA
Rfam family: Eukaryotic large subunit ribosomal RNA
Source: RNAcentral